This 484-nucleotide ribosomal RNA is filed under the name uncultured bacterium. RNAcentral's name for it is "bacterial SSU rRNA". It matches the Rfam family "Bacterial small subunit ribosomal RNA", at positions 12 to 507 of the family's 1533-position model. The record is from RNAcentral.
UUUGAUCAUGGCUCGAGGACGAACGCUGGCGGCGUGCCUAACACAUGCAAGUCGAACGGACGAUGGAGAGCUUGCUCUCCAAAGUUAGUGGCGAACGGGUGAGUAACGCGUGGGCAACCUGCCUUUCAGAGGGGGGACAACAGUUGGAAACGACUGCUAAUACCGCAUAACAUGAUCUGGCCGCAUGACCGGAUCAUCAAAGAUUUAUCGCUGAAAGAUGGGCUCGCGUCUGAUUAGCUAGUUGGUGGGGUAACGGCCCACCAAGGCGACGAUCAGUAGCCGGACUGAGAGGUUGAACGGCCACAUUGGGACUGAGAUACGGCCCAGACUCCUACGGGAGGCAGCAGUGGGGAAUAUUGGGCAAUGGGGGCAACCCUGACCCAGCAACGCCGCAUGAAGGAAGAAGGCUUUCGGGUUGUAAACUUCUUUUACCAGGGACGAAGACGUGACGGUACCUGGAGAAAAAGCCACGGCUAACUACGUG